This 443-nucleotide ribosomal RNA is filed under the name uncultured bacterium. RNAcentral's name for it is "partial 16S ribosomal RNA". It matches the Rfam family "Bacterial small subunit ribosomal RNA", at positions 354 to 796 of the family's 1533-position model. The record is from RNAcentral.
GUGAGGAAUAUUGGUCAAUGGGGGCAACCCUGAACCAGCGACGCCGCGUGAGGGAUGACGGGGCUUUGCCUUGUAAACCUCUGUCAGAAGGGAAAAGAAGGUUGUUUGGCGACCUGGGCUUGUACCUUCGGAGGAAGCACCGGCUAACUACGUGCCAGCAGCCGCGGUAAUACGUAGGGUGCAAACGUUGUCCGGAAUUACUGGGUGUAAAGGGUGCACAGGCGGUUUUGUGCGUCAGAGGUUAAAUGCCACGGCUCAACUGUGGACCUGCCUUUGAUACGGCAAGACUUGAGUGGAAGAGAGGAUGAUAGAACUCCUGGUGUAGCGGUGAAAUGCGUAGAUAUCACGCAGAACUCCGAUUGCGAAGGCAGCUUACUAAGCUACAACUGACACUGAAGCACGAAAGCGUGGGGAUCAAACAGGAUUAGAUACCCGUGUAGUCC